GACGAACGCUGGCGGCGUGCUUAACACAUGCAAGUCGAACGGUAAGGCUCCAGCUUGCUGGGGUACACGAGUGGCGAACGGGUGAGUAACACGUGGGUGACCUGCCCUGCACUUCGGGAUAAGCCUGGGAAACUGGGUCUAAUACCGGAUAGGACCGCACCGUGAGGGUGUGGUGGAAAGUUUUUUCGGUGUGGGAUGGGCCCGCGGCCUAUCAGCUUGUUGGUGGGGUAAUGGCCUACCAAGGCGGCGACGGGUAGCCGGCCUGAGCGGGUGGACGGCCACAUUGGGACUGAGACACGGCCCAGACUCCUACGGGAGGCAGCAGUGGGGAAUAUUGCACAAUGGGCGGAAGCCUGAUGCAGCGACGCCGCGUGGGGGAUGACGGCCUUCGGGUUGUAAACUCCUUUCACCAUCGACGAAGGGUUUCUGACGGUAGAUGGAGAAGAAGCACCGGCUAACUACGUG
RNAcentral lists this ribosomal RNA (465 nucleotides) under uncultured bacterium. RNAcentral's name for it is "partial 16S ribosomal RNA". It matches the Rfam family "Bacterial small subunit ribosomal RNA", at positions 28 to 507 of the family's 1533-position model. The record is from RNAcentral.